GGUUGAAUGGUGUAGUGGUUAUCACAUCUGUCUUACAUGUAUCUAAUCAGCGUGAGGUCCACAGAAGGUCCCAAGUUCGAUCCUUGGUUUAAUCA
Molecule: non-coding RNA, 95 nt
Organism: Peziza echinospora
Lineage: Eukaryota; Fungi; Ascomycota; Pezizomycetes; Pezizales; Pezizaceae
Source: the annotation of a GenBank genome assembly